This is a long non-coding RNA of Penaeus chinensis, 1644 nucleotides long. RefSeq lists it as uncharacterized. NCBI's taxonomy places the organism in Eukaryota, Metazoa, Arthropoda, Malacostraca, Decapoda, Penaeidae. The record is from RefSeq and is a predicted model, not a curated record. The transcript has 3 exons.
UUAUAAUUCACCCCAACUGCACUGAUGUGAUCGACCAUGAUGACUGUGUGAGGUACCUGAGUACAGAGUGUAGCGUCACCGAUUACAUUGCAAGGUUUUGCUGUCGGACCUGUACUCUCGUGGAACACUUGCCUGCCCAUGGACCACACCUUCUAAAUACAGCUAAAGCGCCCUUGUCCGCUGACCUCCGACUGAGUGGCAGCGAUUCCGUUUGGAAAUUUCCUUGGGGUUCCAACAUUGAUAUAUCUUGCACCUCCGGCAGUCUUCUCAAGCCUACAGUUUUGUGGUUUAAAGAUGGCCAUGUGAUUGAAGAAUCGGAAAAAUAUCGGAUACAAGUAAGCGAAGAGAAGGUGUGGGUGAGACAUUUCGUGAAGUCUCAGCUAACGGUGAAGACGUUGAAGGUCGGGGACAACGGCCGGUACACGUGCAGGGCCGUCAUCCUGGGCACCACCGAGGAGAGACACGCGACGCUUGUGUUCGAGCAGGACGGAUUCUUCUCGUUCAGGGAGCGUAUUCAGUAGUGGGACUCCCGAAUAAGAUAUUCUGGAUAAACUAAACAUAUCCCAUAUUUACCUUGAAUAUUAAUAAUCGUAAGAUAAUCCGUGAAAGUCAGUGACAUCCAACUAAAGAAAAAAUGUCCACGAUACUUUGCUCUAUAGAGCAGCACUCCUCCCCGAAGGCUUAGAUUGUUCUGCAGCUUGCUUAGCAUAUGCUGUUCACCUGAUUUCCUUCACAGGUGGUGCUAUUUUUAUACAGAAUGCUAACGUCUGAUGCUUCCGUAGAUUAUGCGUGGUAUAUUUUCCCAUUUACCAAUUACGUCCAUUUGAAACUUGUAGUUUGCAUAUUUUGAAAAUGUAUUCUAGAAAAAAAUGGUAAUAAUUUUUCUUUUCUUUUUUACUGGGAACGCUUUUCACACGGUAAAUGUCAGGAAUGAAAGAUUUGAAAUAUAUUCUUGAUAAUAACCUAAUUGAACCGCAUUCAUGUUGACAAAUGUAGAAAAGGUAUGAAUGAGAAUGAAUAUCUUCACAGUACAAGAGAUGUAUUUGACCGGUUUCGAUUAUAUCUUCGUCUGACGAAGAUAUAAUCGAAACCGGUCAAAUAUAUCUCUUGUACUGUGAAGAUAUUCAUUCUCAUUCAUACCUUUCUACAAUAACCUAAUUGCCUACUACGUGGGUGGUAGAGAUUUCUUCACUUCUUGCCUAUGCUAUACAAAUAUAGACAAAUGACAGUAAUAUAUUCAAGUCUUAACCCACGUUCGCAUCUGCAGUUUUCAUGCAGUGUUAUCUUUGUGACUUUCGAACAUUCUUUUAAUCACAAGUCAGGUAGUCUGUCUCUUUACUCAUAAAAAUACAAAAUUCCAAAAUAAAGGUAUUCAGUACUGAAAAUAAUCUAUAGUCAGUAUGUAAAAAUACAGAUGAAAGACAAAGUUAAAGUGUUGCCUGAAGAAUGUGUCCACUGGUAUGGUUUCUCGUAAAUGGAUCUUGUUGACGCGGCACCUAUAACGCAUAUUUUGUAAUCUACUGUUGGAAAUAUCAGAAAUGUUCAAAUGUGCAAGUAUUUGGCUUGUGGUUGAAAGGAGGAAUUCUGCAUGACUUCUUACACUGUAUUUUUGAAAUGUAUGCAUAUAUAAACCAUUUUAAAACU